GUUGAUGCUUACUAAAUUCAUCAACUGUGCCGAAGCACACCAAACUUAAGACGAAUUUGGGCUUAAUUUGCGCCGACGUCGGCGACCGGAGGGCGAACUUUAGGAGGUCGGCUGGAAUCCGAGCCUCCCACGCUGAAAUUACGGCCGGUUGGGCCGAAGCGGCGAUAUUUAAGUCCCUGGCCACCCGAAGGAACGGAGAUGCUCCUACCUCUUUGACUCUUCACACCAGAUCUGGAGGCGCCCUCGCGUCAAUAGCCCCUCUCCGCACUCGAUGGCCUCAGUUCCAGCCGCCGACGUCGACCAGGGACCGACGAUGGACGGGACAGAAGUGGACGAUAACCUCAUGGGGGCUGGGAACUCAGACAUGGCUAUAAAGAUUGUCACUGAACCUUCUAAACUACCAAAUAGCCUCCUCAAACCUUCACGUACCGAUGCAAUAGUAAUUGGAUUUGACUGUCAGGGUAUUGAUGGCAUCAGUAUCUUGCUGCUUGCGUUGCCCGAUGCUGUCUACUUAGUUGAUGCUAUUAAGGGUGGACAAGAGUUAGUUCAAGCUUGCAAGAUUGCACUUGAAUCGAUUGCCAUCACCAAAGUAAUUCAUGACUGCAGGCGUCACAGCAAGACACUUUUUGAUCAAUAUGGCAUCAGACUUCGUAAUGUGAUGGACACCCAGGUUUUAUAUUCUGUAUUGCAAGAGAGGAAAUGGGAAAAGCCAGAACAUGACCGCAUAUCUCUCUUUGCUAUUCGUCGCUACCAUGAAAUGACAUGUGCUGCAGAACAAAGGCUCAAAAUGCUGCCUUGUCAGGAAUGGGCGAGAAGGCCCUUAUCUAAAGUCAUGAUCGAAAUGGCUAGGGAUUACGUGUCCUUCCUUCCUGCUUUACAUGCUAUAAUAAUAAAGAACUUAAGCAAGUCAUCUUUAUGGCAAGUGGCAGUUCAAAGUGAUGAACUUUCAAGACAUUAUUAUUCGCCAAUUUCUGUCAUGUUUGGGCCUGGAUCAUGUCUUAAUGAUGAACCGGUAGAGGCAUAUACAAAUCGGUGUGCUACUACAUUGUGUUACACCAUCGAUACUGAGCUUGAAAUUCUUGUUGCCACAGAUGACGGAAGAUUCCUAUUGGCCGGAUUUUUUAAAUACCUAAUUAGUAUGCUGCUUAAAAGAAAGAGCUGGAAAGCCUGUUUUCAGUUGCAAAACCUUGUCAUUCGAAAUAAGGAAUUCAUAAUCUCGAUUCCGCCUACUCACGAAGCCAGUUUGAAGAAUGCAUUCCUUGAUCUGCAGAGAAUGCUGAGCCUUCUCCUUCCUUAUUUCUUAAGAAAUAACAGAUAUGCAAAUUACAUCUCUAGCCUCAUUACGGUCAUUGAUAAAUAUUCAAUUGAAAUUGAUGAUUCUGAUUUGGUGAAAUUUCUUUCGGAAUUACUUGGUCACAUGUCAUUUAAUUCACCAGUUGACAAUUCAAGCCUACUUUUUCAUCUGAUCACCAUAUAUAAUAAUAUGCUGCCGGAAGCCGAUAAGAUUAUUUUUGAGCAUGCUGUGAACAGAGCCCAGUUUUUUGAUGAAUCUGGUCAACAAAUUGAUUGGAGAGAAAUGGCAUGGCGAAAGGCUUUAUUGAUUAGUGAUAAUGUUUCCACCACUCCAGUGAGAAAGGUUCAUACUUUCUUUGCAGACUCGAUGUUAUGUCCUGUUUUUAACAGGCACUUUAAAGAGCAUGUGGCUGAAUCAGCAUCUGCAAUUCAAACACCUGAAGAAUUGGACAUCUUUGGACACUUCUAUGGAAAUUUUACGGCUCAAGCUGUGAUGGCAAUCUUUAUGGCAUUCAAUCCUGGCGACAACAAGGAGAUUGAUAAUCUUCGUGAUAAUCUUCGCAGAUGUAGAAUCUAGAAUGUGAAAAAUCCUGGCCAAGGCAGUAUGUUUUGGGAAGUUCAAGGUCAAGAAAUCCUCUUAAUAGGGAUCAUGACCCUUUUUCGAUGGAAGAGCGAGUUGAUGAUGCUGAUGGUUUUUCUUCCCUAGAUUCAAUGGAGGAUGAUUUUGGUUAAAGAUAUUUGGCUGAGGAAGCUGUUAGUUUUCAGACAGUGAAAUAGUAUUGCUAUUUGUGGAUAAGCUCGCCAGCUAUAGCAAUUAUUGUUGCACUGAUUUGCUAUUUUUGGUGCUAAAUUUGACAGUCUUAUUUGCCCAUCUUCGAUUGAAGUAUGUGCUGUGAUCUGAUGCAGCUAUUUUUGAAUUCUUAUAUUCUGUACUGUUUUUCAUGACUGGCAAUUUAAAUUAGUGUGAUCCGAUGCAGUUAUUUUUUAUUUUUAUUGUUCAUGUUCGUAUUGUGGCAAUUUUGAUUUGGUGUUCAUUUUCGUAUGAAUGCUUAGGGCAGCUCUUUCUAUAUGAUAGCCC
Molecule: ribosomal RNA, 2371 nt
Filed under: Triticum aestivum (bread wheat)
Lineage: Eukaryota; Viridiplantae; Streptophyta; Magnoliopsida; Poales; Poaceae
Description: partial small subunit ribosomal RNA
Source: RNAcentral